UGGCGAUGAGGAGAGACUGUCGUGCUGAACUCGGUGAUGGUCGUAUACGCUAUUCUGAGCCCGCC
This is a small nucleolar RNA of Camelus dromedarius (Arabian camel), 65 nucleotides long. Ensembl annotates it as small nucleolar RNA, C/D box 54. Its record names the gene SNORD54. Lineage: Eukaryota; Metazoa; Chordata; Mammalia; Artiodactyla; Camelidae. The record is from Ensembl.